Molecule: transfer RNA, 85 nt
Filed under: Candidatus Pelagibacter sp. TMED165
Lineage: Bacteria; Pseudomonadati; Pseudomonadota; Alphaproteobacteria; Candidatus Pelagibacterales; Candidatus Pelagibacteraceae
Description: tRNA-Leu
Rfam family: tRNA
About the family: Transfer RNA (tRNA) molecules are approximately 80 nucleotides in length. Their secondary structure includes four short double-helical elements and three loops (D, anti-codon, and T loops). Further hydrogen bonds mediate the characteristic L-shaped molecular structure. tRNAs have two regions of fundamental functional importance: the anti-codon, which is responsible for specific mRNA codon recognition, and the 3' end, to which the tRNAs corresponding amino acid is attached (by aminoacyl-tRNA synthetases). tRNAs cope with the degeneracy of the genetic code in two manners: having more than one tRNA (with a specific anti-codon) for a particular amino acid; and 'wobble' base-pairing, i.e. permitting non-standard base-pairing at the 3rd anti-codon position.
Source: RNAcentral
GGGGAAGUGGUGAAAUUGGUAGACACGCAUGUCUUAGGAACAUGUCUCGUAAGAGGUGAAGGUUCAAAUCCUUUCUUCCCUACCA